GCGUGGCUCAGUUGGUUAGAGCUUAGUGCUGCUAACAGCAAGGUUGCUGGUUUGAUCCCAGUUUGGGACA
Molecule: non-coding RNA, 70 nt
Organism: Podarcis lilfordi (Lilford's wall lizard)
Lineage: Eukaryota; Metazoa; Chordata; Lepidosauria; Squamata; Lacertidae
Source: the annotation of a GenBank genome assembly